CGAAAGCCUGGCGGAGCAAUACCGCGUGAGGGAGGAAGGCCUUUGGGUUGUAAACCUCAAAAAAUAGGGAAGAAAAAAAUGACGGUACCUAAAAUAAGCAUCGGCUAACUCCGUGCCAGCAGCCGCGGUAAUACGGAGGAGGCAAGCGUUAUCCGGAAUUAUUGGGCGUAAAGCGUCCGCAGGUGGCGAUUCAAGUCUGCUGUCAAAGCACGGGGCUUAACUCCGUAAAGGCAGUGGAAACUGAAUAGCUAGAGUGCCGUAGGGGUAGAGGGAAUUCCCGGUGUAGCGGUGAAAUGCGUAGAGAUCGGGAAGAACAUCGGUGGCGAAAGCGCUCUACCGGACGGCAACCGACACUCAGGGACGAAAGCUAGGGGAGCG
This 378-nucleotide ribosomal RNA is filed under the name uncultured cyanobacterium. Its description in RNAcentral is "bacterial SSU rRNA". It matches the Rfam family "Bacterial small subunit ribosomal RNA", at positions 376 to 770 of the family's 1533-position model. Lineage: Bacteria; Bacillati; Cyanobacteriota. The record is from RNAcentral.